This is an RNA transcript of Bactrocera neohumeralis, 8606 nucleotides long. It is a transcript of the gene named protein Malvolio, with no coding region annotated. The record is from RefSeq and is a predicted model, not a curated record. NCBI's taxonomy places the organism in Eukaryota, Metazoa, Arthropoda, Insecta, Diptera, Tephritidae. The transcript has 13 exons.
UUUUUUAUUCAGAUAACUUUAUGAAACAAGUAGUUAAUGUGGAUGUGAUAGUUAAACUACUCCAAUAUAAAGUGUUCUGCGUUCGCUUGCAUUAAAAAAUUUGAAAAUAGUUGCUGAUUAAUCAUCAAUCUCAUUUAUAUUUCGCGCGUUAAUUUGUAGCGAAUGAAUUGUAUAAAUACAAAAACUCAACUUGACACACAUCAGUAAAGCUUUUGUUGGAACAAUUGGCAUCGACAAGCACAAAUAUCUGUACUUUCAAUAUGGCUUCAAAUGGAUCAUUUUCAAAAAAUACCGAUCAAAUUGUUGAACCUGCAGGCAGUUCAUCAACAACAUCGCCGCGUACCAGCACAUCUCGAGCGCCACAUCAGCAUCUACCGAGUGUUUUACCCGAUGAGGGCACAUAUCUGAAACCGAAUGCGAAACAAGCAUACUUCAGCGAUGAAAAGGUGCUCAUACCACAAAAUGAUGAGACUGGCUUUAGCUUUCGCAAAUUAUGGGCAUUCACCGGUCCUGGGUUUCUCAUGUCCAUAGCAUACUUGGAUCCGGGCAACAUAGAAUCAGAUUUACAAAGUGGAGCGGCAGCAAAGUAUAAAAUCUUAUGGGUACUUUUAUGGGCCACGGUUUUGGGUUUACUGAUGCAACGUCUGGCGGCGAGGUUGGGUGUUGUGACGGGUCUACAUUUGGCCGAGAUGUGCUAUCGCCAAUACAGAAAGCUGCCGCGCAUCAUUCUUUGGAUAAUGAUUGAGAUUGCAAUUAUCGGCUCGGACAUGCAGGAAGUGAUUGGCACAGCGAUUGCGAUAUAUUUAUUGUCAAAUAAAAUCGUGCCGCUGUGGGGUGGAGUGCUGAUAACAAUUAUCGACACGUUCACAUUUUUAUUUCUAGAUAAAUAUGGUUUGAGGAAACUGGAGUUCUUCUUUGGCUUCUUAAUCACUGUAAUGGCGGUUACUUUCGGCUAUGAGUACGUUGUCUCAGCGCCUAACCAGGGUGAAGUGAUGGAAGGAAUGUUCCUGCCGUGGUGUAAGGAUUGUGAUGCAAAUGUUCUACUGCAGGCUGUAGGCAUAGUUGGUGCUGUGAUAAUGCCCCACAAUUUGUAUCUUCAUUCCGCUUUAGUCAAAUCACGUGAUAUCGAUCGUCGUCAACCGAAAAGAGUUAGCGAGGCAAAUUUCUAUUUCUUCAUUGAAGCGUCGGUGGCGCUAUUUGUGUCAUUCAUUAUAAAUCUAUUCGUCGUAGCUGUCUUCGCACAUGGCAUGUUUGGUAAAACAAAUCAAGAUGUGUUGGAUGUCUGCGUCAAUCAAACAAUGUACGAAGACGCAAAAGCGUCAUUUACGGAUUCGCACAACAACACCGAUCUCAUCGAUGCCGAUCUUUAUAAGGGAGGUCUAUAUUUGGGUUGCACAUUCGGUGCAGCGGCUAUGUACAUUUGGGGUGUUGGCAUUUUGGCCGCUGGUCAGAGCUCCACCAUGACUGGCACAUAUGCGGGACAAUUUUCAAUGGAAGGCUUUCUGAAUUUGCAAUGGCCACGCUGGCGCCGUGUGCUCUUCACGCGUUUAAUCGCCAUCAUACCCACAUUCUGCUUGGCCUUCUUCACACGCAUGGAAGAUUUAACUCAUUUGAAUGAUAUUUUGAACGCAGUGAUGUCGUUGCAGUUGCCUUUUGCCGCCAUACCUACGAUAGCAUUCACAUCGUGUGUGGCUAUAAUGGGUGAAUUCGUAAAUGGCCUGGCGAACAAGGUCAUAUCCAUAAUGUUAACCAUAGUGGUAAUAACGGUAAACAUCUACUUCGUUGUUGUGCAAGUGCAGACGGCGUCUUUGGAAAAUGGUUUAUUAGCAUUAGUUUGUAUAGGAGCCAUUUUAUAUUUGCUAUUCAACUUGUACCUUGUGAUACACAUGAUUGCGUGCAUGGGCAAUCAAAGAUUUGUCAAUAAUAGGUGGGUCCAGAAGUUCGUACUCCCCAGUCAGAAUAGUUUUACGAUAAAGAACGCCAAUUCAACGUACGCAAGUACUGAUGACACGCACGUACUCACUGAAUAUUCACCACACGCAUAUGUAUGUAAAUUUUGAAAAUAAAAAACCAAAACAAAACCAAAAAACAACGACUUCGAUAUUUGCGAUGACACUUAAAAUGCGUUGGACAGCGAACCCGCCGGUGGCCUAAGUCUGCACCCUCUCUAAUAAAAUACACACACACCUGCAUACAUACGCAUACAUUUUUGCUGACACUAAAGAAAGUAAACUGUAACAAAAAUUGGCUAUUUUGCGAAAAUUGUGGGGAAAUUAACAAAAAAUUUAGAACGCUGAAAAUUUAAAUGUGCUCAGAUACGUAAAAAACCCAAGACUCCAUUUAGUUAAAUAAACAUAUGUACAUAUUUUUGUUUUGGCUAAUUAAAUAAAUUUCGCCUCUGCUGCCUGUCUGCGUGCUGGAUGUCGCUGCUGCUGUCAUCGCUAACAACGACUAUGUGCAAUUUCGCUGCUAACAACAAAAAUCAACAACAACAUCCACUACCACCUCAACAACUACAACAUAAUCGUCUCUAACAUCAACAAAUCCACAAAUCAUAAUAAUUAUCCAUAUAUUUAAUGCAAAACUAUUGGGCGCUCAACUGCGCGCCUGUGUCUGCAUGUAUUCUUGUGCUAAAAUAAUAAUUAUAUGGAUACUGGCGUCCAAUGCGCGUCGUCCAUUUGGCGUCCCACAUUUGUCUGCCUUUCAACGACUCACAUAAAUCGCGCCAACAUAUGUACAUGUGUUUGUACGUUAAUGAUAACACGGCGGCGCCUUCGCCUGUCAACGACACAUGUUGCUGCCUUCACCAAACGCCUUUGAUCUUUGCUCGUUAUGCCAAAAUGUGCGCAUACGUGUGUCCAAUAAUGUUGACCAUGUUGGUGUCAUCGUAUUGUUGUUGGCGAUAUUUAUGGACGCGCUUGAACAACUCAUUUUUGCACCAUAUUUCCAAUUUACUUAUGUGUGGCAUUUUAUGCGGCGUAGUGAGCUGACGUUAUACGAUAAUAGUGUCUCGAUAUGUUCCAUCUCGUCGAAAACUCAUUGAACUAAUCAUAAGGAAAACUGCCGCCGAUGGAACGUUGCAGCGCAUAAUUUUUGAAUCGCUCAAAUGAUUUUGCUAUAAAUCCCAAAUAUGUAUAAAUAUUUAAAAGGUUUAGGAUUUAUUUUUUUAUAAGUAAAACUGAGAAGAAACAGCAGAAGCGUGCGCAAGUUACUUAUUUAUGGCAUUAUGUAAUGUUAUGUAAGAACCAAUAGCUUAUGUACGUAUGUAUGUAAUUGUAAAUAAUAAAAUUUUAUUUGAAAAUAUUUAUUUUAUAUUAUUUGCUAUAAUUCAUAUCACAAACGCUUGCACUUAUUUAUUUAUUGAAACUUAUUGCUUAAAAUUAAAUAUUUUUAAAAUAUGUAAAUUUUUACAAAAAAUUUCAACUAUUUUUGCGCUCUUGCCAGCGGACAUAAGUACAUAUUUAUGAGUUUUUCAAUUAUACGAAUUUUCCGACUUCAAAAAUAUUCGCCAGCAUUGUUGUUGUUGCAAAGCUUUUUUUGUUGCUUAGCUGUAUGUUUACUACUUAGCAUUGUAAAAAGCAAAAACUUUGUGCGCUGUAAUUAUAAAGUAUUUAUUUAAUUAAAUAAAUUAUUAUUUGUGUAAGUAAAAUGCCUCUCUGUAGUUAAUAAGCACCUUUUAUUUAUAAUUGUAGUUACAUUUAGCAAAACAAAAAAGAAAUAAUAAAUAUAAAAAUAUAAUCAUUUUGCACUCUUAAUCAAUUUCGUUAGCACCUAAUUGCUAGCCUUGACCCACUGUAUAUUUACAUUAACGCAUACACAAGUAUUUUUCCGACUAUUUUAAAUACAAUUAUUAAUAAAUAAUCGAAGCAGUUUCUGCUUACUUUCGCCGUUGUUGUAGCCUGUGUUUUAUUCACCUAAUAUUUGCUGAAUUCUACUUUAUGCCAACGUGCGCACACCUGUAAUUACAUAUUUAUUUAUACAUAUAUACCUAUAGUAUUUACAUAUACAUGCAUAUAUGUAUGUAUAUGCGCAUUUAUUUUCUUUACUUUUACAGCUUAGCGGUUAAAUUACUAAACAACAAUAAACUACAUAGAUAAUUUACAGUUCUUUAAGAAUAUUUGAAAUCACACAGCAUUUCCGCCUUGCAUGUUCAUUUACAAGUCCAUUCAUAUAUACUAUAUAUACAAACCCUCACACAUAUACUACAUAUAUACAAAUUUGCCUGCUUGUAUGUAAAUGUUGUUUGCAUUUCUUCAUUUGUUUGUCUACUUAAACUACUUUGCAGUGCAUUACCCAAAAACACUACAUCAAAAUAUUAAAUAUAUUUAUACAUAUUGUUUUGAAAAGUUCUGAAUUUUUUUUUGAAACGUAAGUAUCUUUUAGCAAUGCAGCAUUAAGCUGCUGGUACAUGAGAUAUCUUUAUUUUAUUGUGUAUAUUUGUUAUCAUUCAUUUAGAGGCAUAAUAGUUGUGAUUCACUCAAAUUUCACCAUCGUUUGGUUGUUGUUGAUUUAACAGUAUAAAAUAUUUCGCAAAUUCUAUAAGUAGUUUUAGGGAACGCUGCUUAAUUGAAAGUUUUCUGUCGGAUAAAAGUACAUAAUGCAUGGUUUAAGUACAGGCCUGUUUCAGUAGCGCAUGAAGACCCGGUUGUCAUGUGAAUUAUAUUUUUGUAGAAGUUGUAGCUGCGGGAAACAUUCCUCCUAUUACUUUGACGAAUAUUGUCCAGAUGAUAGUCAUUGGCUGGGUAAAAAUGAGCGUCUGUUUGGGUUUUAUAGAACCGACUUUCAUGGGAACGGGUGUUAUAUUGCAACUUCUGGAAAUUAAGUUUAUAGGUCCUGAAGUUUUUUAUGUGGUUGAGGCCGGCAGACUGAUCACACUGAGACAUAAGGGGUUAUAUACAGUUAGAAGGCCGAAAAAAAGCGAAUUUUCCAAAAUAUUUCUGAGAAAAAUUUUAAAUUUAUUAAUCCAAAAAAUUUGUACACAUAUUAUCUUUUAACUGUAUUUCAAGACUUAGUAUUAGUAAAAAUGUUUAUUUUGAAAGGAAAAGCUCCUCAAAAAAGACGUUUUGUGGUGACUGGAUCCUAUGAAUUUAAAAAACCAAACAGAUUUCGUUAAAGUAAUGCUAAAUCUAGUAAUUAAUCGAAGGAAUAAGCGAAUAUUUUUUUUACGAAAUAGCGGUUACUAAAAAAGGUCAAUUUUAAAAAUUUCGGCUUUAUAUUUUUUAUAAAAAGAUAUUUAUCGGUGAGAAAAAAUCUUCAAUUAAAUACUAAAAAAUAUAUUUAAGAAGCUCGUGUUAAAAUUUGAGAAUAAGUGGCUUACCCUUUUCGAGUAAUGUUCGUCACCGGCUUUGAAAACAUCGUUUAGAGAAAAAUGCGUUUAAAGUUUGGAUUGCAAUUCCAAGCACUCUGAAUCGCUUCUUCAAAUUUGCGUGAAGCUUCGGAAAUAUUAACCCGAACGAUAUGAAAUUUUCUGUGUGUAUUCUCAAAUAUACAUAUGUAUGUACAUUAAGAAAAUAAAAUAGAAAAAAUCGUUUUUUGAUAAUUUUAACUGUAUAUAACUCCAUAAUGUCAACUCCGUUGGCACUUGAUUUGUUAUCUUGUUGAUAUACUCAUAUAAAUGUUAUAUUCCAACAGGCAUAUGUUAACAUUACCUCAUCUAAUAUACACUUGAUCCAUGGCGCUGUCAAUCAAGAGGAUUUGAUCAACUCCACUAUGUGAAAAGUUACCCUCUGCUACGAAUUUAGCGCCGCCAUGUUUUUUGUUUUAAAUUAGGUAUUAUAUUAUAUUAAGGGGAAGUCGAAUAAAGUUUCCAGACCUUUUACUCCCAAAUUACAAAUUUUACAUUGAUCUGACACCAAUAUACUUCGCCAUUUGGCAAUGCUUUUUUGCCAAUUGUAUAAGGGCUUUUGCACUGUUCUUUUUUAGUACGGAUAGCAGUACUCUUCGAGGACUUUUUGUUUUGUGUUCACCACGAAGAGUUUCAGUAUUAACUGUGAUCUAGAAAAGUCAAUGCUUAUUAUAACUUUUUUAUUUUGUACAUACAUACAUACAUAUGUAAAUAAUGUAAAUAAUUUCAAAAGUUAUCACUUUCGUUUAAAUUAUUCAUUCUAAGGAACUACUAUCUUCAACUUUGCUCUUAUUCCUUUUAAUCGCCUACAUUGGUUUAGUGCUUCGAUUCCAAUUUUCGAAAAUCAUUCAAACAACUGUUGUCUUUUGACAGACAAUGUCAAACUUCCGCGUCAAUUGUUGCCAUGAUAAAAUUGCUCAUAAAACCCAACAUCUGUUCGGAUGAAUUCUUAACCAUAUUUAGGGAAUAAUAGAAAACCCCACACUAUAAAUGAGAGAUAAGGGUCGGUUAACAAAACUCAGUUUUUAACUGUAAAAACCGUGAGAUACUCUAUAAGAUGAAGUGUCACUUUAGGAUGUUUUCAAGUAUAUAUGUAUCUCUUUGUGGCUUUACUACACUAUGUACUUAGGUAGACUAGUCAACCUCAUGGCAGCAGAUGUACUUUAUGUAGUCUCCGCCAUUAGUCUCAUUAGUUUUAUGCAGAUACAACAACUACAAACCUUUUUUGUAUCAACUUGAUUGUUUCGAUAUACAAAGUCCGAGUAAAAUUGUUUGUAAAUUUUUAAAUUGGCCACGAGUGUUAGCACUCAUUCUCCUUGUUGGCUUCUUUAUUCUCUUUCGGCAACAGUUCCUAAACCAAAGCUUAGCCUAAAGAAUGAAUCCAUAGUGGUGCUUCAAGUUAUGAGGUUUUUAAGUUAUUAAAUAUAUUUGAUAUUCAAAAAGAAAUAAUCUCCAGGCCACUGAACAAUUUGCAAGUUUCCCACCAUUGCAACGUAUAGCACCGGGUAUAAGAGUUUAAGUAUAAAUACCUAAAUAUUUCUAAAGUUAUCCAUAUGGAGCUUUUCUGUGUGGCUAUGAAAAGCUUUGCAAUUAAAAAAUGCAAGAUAUUGCAACGAACAAGCAUUAAUAUUCAAUGAGAGAUGUCGCUUGUGAUUGCAUUGAAGUCAGGUCUUGUCUGCAGGUCGAGUUAAUAUCAGUUAGGCGCGGUUUUUUGAGCGAAGCUUUUUACGUCACUGGCAUAUGUUGUUUACCUAGGUGCACUCUUAAUAUUUUAUAUUUUCUGUUUUUGCUGUGUUAUUGCUUUUAAAGCGAGGGGAAAGCUGCACUUGCAAAACAAAAAUGAGUAAAAAUAAUUUAAAUAAGCUUGCAUUGGUAUAUUCAUUAGGCGCAAUAGUAAUAUUGUUUAAAUAAAAUAGGCCUGUGUUUUUCUAAAAGAGAGAGAGAGAAAGAGAGAGCAAAGUAAUGGCCGAUUUAUAAGAAAAUAUUGUGAAUGUAUUUAAUAAUAUAUUAAGGCCUUCCGACUUCCGAGCGUUGUUUUAAAUUAAAUUUGAAGAAGUGGGAAACUAUAUAUUGUUGAUUUACGUGCUUUAUAUAUUUAAGCAAGGAAUCUUUUAUCGAUUUUGCACGAUUGCAAGAGAACGGGAUUCAUACGUUCGCUAGAUGCUAGAACGGGCUUAUGUGAUACAAAUCCUGAUGUUACUUCAAGAUCAACGCAAUAUAAGUUUUCUAGCACAUUCGUCUAACUGAUGGCAUGUGAUGAUUCUUUCCUUUCAAGAUCUUGAUAUUAUCCAACGAGUUUACACUGUUUUCAGAUUUUUUAUGGCUUAAUAUUUUAUUUCAAAUUUCUGGGGUGAUUAAGUUUCUCAAAUAAAUGUACAAAUUUUUUUACUUAAUAUAGUAUGUACAUAUAUGAAAAAUUCGUUAUUUAUAACAAAUGUAGUUCACAAUUACAAAUUUAACAUACCUGUCUUCAUUUGCAAAGUUUUAUAUACAGCUGUAAGUUAAAUUAUUUUUACGAGUUUUACAUGCAAGUGUUCAACUAACUAGUUAGUCUAAGUUUUUCAAUAUGUUCAGACAUAUGUACAUAUGUACCUAAAACGAAUGUACCAACAUUAGAAGUGUGUGUCUUGGAGUUAAAAUAAUAUUUUCUGGACCCGAAUCAGAAUUAUUUUUGGCACUGGGCAGUAUAAAUUAAACUGAGAACUGUUAGUUUGAAAUCUACAACUCCCAAAGCGGUUGAACAGAAUUUCACCAAAUGGCGAUCAGGAAGUGGAUGUACCAUUCGGCGCAGAGGAGGACGCAUAGCCACUACUGUGUGGCGUUGACUCCGAUUGCAGUGAUGAUAGCGAUAACACUUUAUUCAUAAGCAAAAAUGGAAUGUACAAUCACGGCUGUUCCAGCAUCAUCAGCUAGCAUAGGCGACUUUGUUGUUAUGAUGAUGUUCUUAAUAUUAUUUUUGGAAAAGCUAAGAACAGCACCCACAUACAAGUACUAAUGCUAACAAUACUUAUGCCAAGUAGCAAUCCCACAAACAAAGAAUGACAACCAAAUCAUGUAAAAUUGGUGCAUAUUUUUCUACAACAACAAACCCAGCAUACGGAUUAAUUCAAAAUGUUAAUCACCACAUUUAUGUAUGUGCCAUAUGUGUGAAUGCUUGUACAGUACAGUAAUAAGUGCAACAUGACAGCAGUCUCUUAAUUUGUGAGCGAUUUCCGGGAAUAUGUUCAAAAUAGAAAUAAAUUGAAGGGAAGAAAUUGUUUAA